AAGUCCCUCGUUGUUAUUGAUAUGAUUUGGCUCUGUGUCCCCACCCAAAUCUCAUCUCAAAUGGUAAUCCCCACUUGUGGAGGGAAGGACCUGUAAUCUCCAUGUGUUAAGGGAGGGAGGUGACUGGAUCAUGGGGGUGGUUUCCUAUGCUGUUCUUGUGAUAGUGAGUGAGUUCUCACAAGAUCUGAUGGUUCUAUAAGUGCUUGACAGUUCCUCUUUCACUUCCUCUUCUCUCCUGCUGCCUUGUGAAGGAGGUGUCUGCUUCCCCUGCACCAUAAUUAAAAGUCUCCUGAGGCCUCCCCUGCCACAUGGAGCUGUGAGUCAAUUA
Sapajus apella (tufted capuchin) is the source of this 328-nucleotide long non-coding RNA. RefSeq lists it as uncharacterized. The transcript has 3 exons. NCBI's taxonomy places the organism in Eukaryota, Metazoa, Chordata, Mammalia, Primates, Cebidae. The record is from RefSeq and is a predicted model, not a curated record.